AGCUCCAAUAGCGUAUAUUAAAGUUGCUGCAGUUAAAAAGCUCGUAGUUGCAUUUCCGAGGCAAGGGAUUAGUCCGACCUUUGGUGGGUAUUUAAUCCUCUUGCCUCGUCCUUGAGUGGUGCUUCUUGGUAUUAAGUUAUCGAGGAGAUAGCCGCUCAUCGUUUACUGUGAGAAAAUUAGAGUGUUCAAAGCAGGCUUAUGCCGUUGAAUAUAUUAGCAUGGAAUAAUAAGAUAGGACCUCGGUACUAUUGUGUUGGUUUGAGAACCAAGGUAAUGAUGAAUAGGGAUAGUUGGGGGUAUUCGUAUUCAGUUGUCAGAGGUGAAAUUCUUAGAUUUACGGAAGACGAACUACUGCGAAAGCAUUUACCAAGGAUGUUUUCA
RNAcentral lists this ribosomal RNA (381 nucleotides) under uncultured marine Chaetocerotaceae. Its description in RNAcentral is "SSU rRNA". It matches the Rfam family "Eukaryotic small subunit ribosomal RNA", at positions 587 to 972 of the family's 1831-position model. The record is from RNAcentral. Lineage: Eukaryota; Bacillariophyta; Thalassiosirophyceae; Chaetocerotales; Chaetocerotaceae.